This 253-nucleotide ribosomal RNA is filed under the name uncultured bacterium. RNAcentral describes it as "partial 16S ribosomal RNA". It matches the Rfam family "Bacterial small subunit ribosomal RNA", at positions 524 to 776 of the family's 1533-position model. The record is from RNAcentral.
UACAGGGGGUGCAAACGUUGCUCGGAAUCAUUGGGCGUAAAGCGCACGUAGGCGGUUCGUUAUGUCGGAUGUGAAAGCCCUUGGCUUAACCGAGGAAGUGCAUCCGAAACUGGCGAGCUAGAGUACGAAAGAGGAUCGCGGAAUUCCCGGUGUAGAGGUGAAAUGCGUAGAUAUCUGGAGGAACACCGGUGGCGAAGGCGGCAUCCUGGACCAACACUGACACCGAGGAGCGAAAGCCAGGGGAGCAAACGGG